UCUCCGGUUGAUCCCGCCGGACCCGACUGCUAUCAGAGUGGGACUAAGCCAUGCGAGUCAACAUAGCAAUAUGUGGCAUACGGCUCAGUAACACGUAGUCAACAUGCCCAGGGGACGUGGAUAACCUCGGGAAACUGAGGAUAAACCGCGAUAGGUCAUCACUUCUGGAAUGGGUAAUGACUUAAAUCUAUAUGGCCCCUGGAUUGGACUGCGGCCGAUCAGGCUGUUGGUGAGGUAAUGGCCCACCAAACCUGUAACCGGUACGGGCUCUGAGAGGAGGAGCCCGGAGAUGGGCACUGAGACAAGGGCCCAGGCCCUAUGGGGCGCAGCAGGCGCGAAACCUCUGCAAUAGGCGAAAGCUUGACAGGGUUACUCUGAGUGAUUUCCGUUAAGGAGAUCUUUUGGCACCUCUAAAAAUGGUGCAGAAUAAGGGGUGGGCAAGUCUGGUGUCAGCCGCCGCGGUAAUACCAGCACCCCGAGUGGUCGGGACGUUUAUUGGGCCUAAAGCAUCCGUAGCCGGUUCUACAAGUCUUCCGUUAAAUCCACCUGCUUAACAGAUGGGCUGCGGAAGAUACUAUAGAGCUAGGAGGCGGGAGAGGCAAGCGGUACUCGAUGGGUAGGGGUAAAAUCCGUUGAUCCAUUGAAGACCACCAGUGGCGAAGGCGGCUUGCCAGAACGCGCUCGACGGUGAGGGAUGAAAGCUGGGGGAGCAAACCGGAUUAGAUACCCGGGUAGUCCCAGCUGUAAACGAUGCAGACUCGGUGAUGAGUUGGCUUAUUGCUAACUCAGUGCCGCAGGGAAGCCGUUAAGUUUGCCGCCUGGGGAGUACGGUCGCAAGACUGAAACUUAAAGGAAUUGGCGGGGGAGCA
This 869-nucleotide ribosomal RNA is filed under the name uncultured archaeon. RNAcentral describes it as "bacterial SSU rRNA". It matches the Rfam family "Archaeal small subunit ribosomal RNA", at positions 1 to 878 of the family's 1478-position model. The record is from RNAcentral.